CAACAGCUCGUGAGUUUUCAGGAUGGCUAAGAGUUCCAAACCAGUGGUUCAUUUUGCAUAGUUCUGUGCUGAAAGCAGAGAUGCAUAAGACUACUUUUGUUUUAGGCUAAAAACCUGUAUGUGGAUGUGACGCUGUGACUUUGCUUUGCACCUCUUGUUGGACUCGCUGCUGUCACCUAGUGAACGAUGGGACUGCUACAAGUACAUCACACAGACAAACUGUGCCAGCUCCAUGUAAGGUGUGUCACAGAGCAAUAAAUCUCCUGAGAAAAGAACAUGUGAAUCAGAUCCAAGCCGCUGGCUGCUGUAUUCAGCGGGACGUCAAACACACGCCUACAAGGAAGAGUUUCUGAACAUGAUAAGACCUUUCUUUAUUUAGCAGAGUAUUUCAAAAUGAGACUGCUGCUAUUCUCAGAUUAAAUCAUUAGGCCCUAAAUACUUUUGGUUUGUGAGCCCUCUUUGUGUUCUUACAAAAAUGUGCACAUUUUAGUGUGACCUGUAGAGAGCCACAGAUCUGGAAAUGGCUAGAAAGCAUUACAGAACUAUUAACAUCCUUCUCUGUUUAAAAAGGGUUUAAGACAACAGCUGCUACUAAACUAUGUUGGAUUAUGAGCUCUGUAUGACAGGGAUUUCUCAAAAGCUUUGCAUUUGAAGUCAGUGCUUUAUUAAAUUCACACUUCUAUUUCCAUGUGCCACUGCAACAAUAUAGAUAGUAGAUGUAUAUUUAUAUGUGUUUUGUGCAUUUUAUCUAGUGUUUAGGCCUCUAUGUAAAAGGUCUGGAUAGCUUUUGGGGAGUCCCAUUUCACACAUGACUAUUUUAUAUGUAAUCAUGUCUGUAAAUGUUACUUAAUUGAUUUAUGAAUAAACUACAUGAAACUG
Molecule: non-coding RNA, 879 nt
Organism: Maylandia zebra (zebra mbuna)
Lineage: Eukaryota; Metazoa; Chordata; Actinopteri; Cichliformes; Cichlidae
Source: RefSeq, a predicted model, not a curated record